CAAAAAAGCUCAUUUGAUUCUGUAACUAAUUAUCCUC
Molecule: transfer RNA, 37 nt
Filed under: Koenigia mollis
Lineage: Eukaryota; Viridiplantae; Streptophyta; Magnoliopsida; Caryophyllales; Polygonaceae
Description: partial tRNA-Phe
Source: RNAcentral